AGCGAACGCUGGCGGCAGGCUUAACACAUGCAAGUCGAGCGGGCAUCCUUGUGGUGUCAGCGGCAGACGGGUGAGUAACGCGUGGGAACGUGCCCUUCGGUUCGGAAUAACUCAGGGAAACUUGAGCUAAUACCGGAUACGUGCGAGAGCAGAAAGGUUUAUCUGCCGAAGGAUCGGCCCGCGUCUGUUUAGCUAGUUGGUGAGGUUUCGGCUCACCAAGGCGACGAUCAGUAGCUGGUCUGAGAGGAUGAUCAGCCACACUGGGACUGAGACACGGCCCAGACUCCUACGGGAGGCAGCAGUGGGGAAUAUUGGACAAUGGGGGCAACCCUGAUCCAGCCAUGCCGCGUGAGUGAUGACGGCCUUAGGGUUGUAAAGCUCUUUUCUCCGGGACGAUAAUGACGGUACCGGAGGAAUAAGCCCCGGCUAACUUCGUG
RNAcentral lists this ribosomal RNA (437 nucleotides) under uncultured bacterium. RNAcentral describes it as "partial 16S ribosomal RNA". It matches the Rfam family "Bacterial small subunit ribosomal RNA", at positions 29 to 507 of the family's 1533-position model. The record is from RNAcentral.